Molecule: long non-coding RNA, 1229 nt
Organism: Amphimedon queenslandica
Lineage: Eukaryota; Metazoa; Porifera; Demospongiae; Haplosclerida; Niphatidae
Exons: 5
Source: RefSeq, a predicted model, not a curated record
UGUAUAUUUCCAUCAAAUCAAAUAUUGACUGAGAAUGAUGAUACAACAUUAUAUCAUUAACCAUCUUUCGGGACUGAAUCCCUAACUGAUGAUUUGUAUUAACUGACUCAGUUUAUUAUACAAUAAUUUGAAAGCCAUGUAUGUGCAUGUAUUUUUGUGUCCUGCUACUUAUUUUUUCCUAAAUCAACAUGAAGUCAUAAUUAUUUUGUGUUUUGCUUUAGUUUCAAGUUUUAUUUUUAGUUACUAAUUAUGGUAUUCUAUAAUGUUCUGUAGUUAGUUUUUCUACUUAAUAUUGUGCAGUAAAUUAAACUUGUAAAUUAAUCAUUUUUGUAAUAGGAACUGAAUUCUAUUUUGCAGUGGCAUACUAACAAACCCAAGCUGUAUCGUCAUCAGUUACUGUGGUUCCUCUGCAGAUCAAUUUGUAACUGUUCAUACACUAGCAUCACUUUAUCUGUUCCUACAUGUACAUGCAACAAGUUACUUGCUACUAUAGGAUAUACUGUAGACAGUACUAGACACAUAGCUGUCCAACAUGUUAAAUAUUGACAAGUGCAUGGAGCGAUGAAUAAAAUCACUGAGUUUACAAAGCUAUAGCCAGGGUCAGUACAAGUUGUAUAAUUAUUUAUCCGAUGGAACAAUGCUUGGAUAAACUCUUUCUCUUCCCGGAGUUCAUUGCUGCAAAACAUAUCAGGGUGUAUUUGUUUGUCUAAAGUCAUCGAAACCUAUUUUUCCAACGAGCUAUAGUGUUCUAAAUUCAUCCUUUUGAACAAUUUUAGAGAUUUUUGAUAAUGAUAAUAAUUAAUUGAGUAAAAUAGGGGAGGGGCUAGCUGGCUAGGGAAUUUUUCGAGUUUUCGCCUCCUUUUUAACGCUUUUCAACAUGAUUGAUUUGUGUCAAUGGAGAGCUAGAAUAGGGUCUUGGAACUGUUGCAAUUGUUCGCAAUCCCGGGAUUGUGUUGGUAGUAGAUCUAGCACAAGUAGAGCUGGACUUAGUAAUACGAUUUCAUCUACGCAAGGGAAUGCUCCUAAGCUAACUUUGUCUAUUUUUUGUCUUGCUAUCCUCCUCUUCAUAUCAGGAGAUGUGGAGCUUAAUCCUGGACCCACUCUUACAGAUAAACCAACAAAAGAUGAGUUGGUUGAGUUAUUGAGUAGCUCAAAUUUUGCUGCUGGUACUUGGGAACAAUUUGCCUGCUAUCUUCUAAAUGUGUCACAUGAUGUCAUUACUGGAAUCA